This is a small nuclear RNA of Salvia splendens (bonfire salvia), 196 nucleotides long. RefSeq annotates it as U2 spliceosomal RNA. The record is from RefSeq and is a predicted model, not a curated record. The transcript has a single exon. NCBI's taxonomy places the organism in Eukaryota, Viridiplantae, Streptophyta, Magnoliopsida, Lamiales, Lamiaceae.
AUACCUUUCUCGGCCUUUUGGCUAAGAUCAAGUGUAGUAUCUGUUCUUAUCAGUUUAAUAUCUGAUAUGUGGGCCAUUGGCUCACACGAUAUUAAAUUUAUUUUUUGAGCGGGAAGGCCUAUCAAGGUAGCUUGCUACUUGGGCCUUCAAGCGUCGCCCAUGUGUUGCACUAUUGCACGGGCCUGGCGCACCCCAC